GAAUAUUAUUUCCUAAACUUGACCAUAUUCAUAAUUCGAUGAUGCCUACAUCCAGAAAGACGUUCGGUAAGAAAUAUAGCUGUGGAAGAGCUGAAUCAGAGGAACUCGAUUUUUGCAUCAUGCUUAUGAUGAGUAAAUGUUAGGUCUUCAGUAGAUCAUGUGUGUGUAAGCUCCUUGGUAAGAAUCCCUUGUCACACCCCCUUUUUACACCACCCGAAAGGUAGUACAAGGGAAUUUUUCCGCUUUAAGUGACAUUAUUUUAAAGGGAUUAUUUAUUUAUCAGAGUCGCCACUUGGGAUAGUUUGUUUUCUGGUGUCCCAAGCCACCGGUUUAUUUAAAUCCCAAAU
This 347-nucleotide long non-coding RNA is filed under the name Nicotiana benthamiana. RNAcentral describes it as "long non-coding RNA (NBEN_LNC027420)". Lineage: Eukaryota; Viridiplantae; Streptophyta; Magnoliopsida; Solanales; Solanaceae. The record is from RNAcentral.